CCUGGCUCAGGAUGAACGCUAGCGACAGGCUUAACACAUGCAAGUCGAGGGGCAGCACAGGUAGCAAUACCGGGUGGCGACCGGCGCACGGGUGAGUAACGCGUAUGCAACUUGCCUAUCAGAGGGGGAUAACCCGGCGAAAGUCGGACUAAUACCGCAUGAAGCAGGGAUCCCGCAUGGGAAUAUUUGCUAAAGAUUCAUCGCUGAUAGAUAGGCAUGCGUUCCAUUAGGCAGUUGGCGGGGUAACGGCCCACCAAACCGACGAUGGAUAGGGGUUCUGAGAGGAAGGUCCCCCACAUUGGUACUGAGACACGGACCAAACUCCUACGGGAGGCAGCAGUGAGGAAUAUUGGUCAAUGGCCGAGAGGCUGAACCAGCCAAGUCGCGUGAGGGAUGAAGGUUCUAUGGAUCGUAAACCUCUUUUAUAAGGGAAUAAAGUGCGGGACGUGUCCCGUUUUGUAUGUACCUUAUGAAUAAGGAUCGGCUAACUCCGUGCCAGCAGCCGCGGUAAUACGGAGGAUCCGAGCGUUAUCCGGAUUUAUUGGGUUUAAAGGGUGCGUAGGCGGCCUUUUAAGUCAGCGGUGAAAGUCUGUGGCUCAACCAUAGAAUUGCCGUUGAAACUGGGGGGCUUGAGUAUGUUUGAGGCAGGCGGAAUGCGUGGUGUAGCGGUGAAAUGCAUAGAUAUCACGCAGAACCCCGAUUGCGAAGGCAGCCUGCCAAGCCAUUACUGACGCUGAUGCACGAAAGCGUGGGGAUCAAACAGGAUUAGAUACCCUGGUAGUCCACGCAGUAAACGAUGAUCACUAGCUGUUUGCGAUACACUGUAAGCGGCACAGCGAAAGCGUUAAGUGAUCCACCUGGGGAGUACGCCGGCAACGGUGAAACUCAAAGGAAUUGACGGGGGCCCGCACAAGCGGAGGAACAUGUGGUUUAAUUCGAUGAUACGCGAGGAACCUUACCCGGGUUUGAACGCAUUCGGACCGAGGUGGAAACACCUUUUCUAGCAAUAGCCGUUUGCGAGGUGCUGCAUGGUUGUCGUCAGCUCGUGCCGUGAGGUGUCGGCUUAAGUGCCAUAACGAGCGCAACCCUUGCCACUAGUUACUAACAGGUAAAGCUGAGGACUCUGGUGGGACUGCCAGCGUAAGCUGCGAGGAAGGCGGGGAUGACGUCAAAUCAGCACGGCCCUUACAUCCGGGGCGACACACGUGUUACAAUGGCGUGGACAAAGGGAGGCCACCUGGCGACAGGGAGCGAAUCCCCAAACCACGUCUCAGUUCGGAUCGGAGUCUGCAACCCGACUCCGUGAAGCUGGAUUCGCUAGUAAUCGCGCAUCAGCCAUGGCGCGGUGAAUACGUUCCCGGGCCUUGCACACAC
Molecule: ribosomal RNA, 1374 nt
Filed under: uncultured bacterium
Lineage: Bacteria
Description: bacterial SSU rRNA
Rfam family: Bacterial small subunit ribosomal RNA
Source: RNAcentral